GGGGAAUAUUGCGCAAUGGGCGAAAGCCUGACGCAGCGACGCCGCGUGUGGGAUGAAGGUCUUCGGAUUGUAAACCACUGUCGGGAGGGACGAAGCUCUGACGGUACCUCCAAAGGAAGCACCGGCUAACUCUGUGCCAGCAGCCGCGGUAAUACAGAGGGUGCGAGCGUUGUCCGGAAUCACUGGGUGUAAAGGGCGCGUAGGCGGCUUGAUAAGUAGGGGGUGAAAUCUCAUGGCUCAACUGUGAGGCUGCCUUCUAGACUGUCUGGCUUGAGCACAGUAGAGGCGAGUGGAAUUCCCGGUGUAGCGGUGGAAUGCGUAGAGAUCGGGAAGAACAUCGGUGGCGAAGGCGGCUCGCUGGGCUGUUGCUGACGCUGAUGCGCGAAAGCGUGGGGAGCAAAC
RNAcentral lists this ribosomal RNA (402 nucleotides) under uncultured bacterium. RNAcentral describes it as "bacterial SSU rRNA". It matches the Rfam family "Bacterial small subunit ribosomal RNA", at positions 356 to 773 of the family's 1533-position model. The record is from RNAcentral.